Molecule: ribosomal RNA, 801 nt
Filed under: Triticum aestivum (bread wheat)
Lineage: Eukaryota; Viridiplantae; Streptophyta; Magnoliopsida; Poales; Poaceae
Description: partial small subunit ribosomal RNA
Source: RNAcentral
AUGGCGACCACAACCAUGUCUCUCUCCUCCUCGACCUUUGCCGGCAAGGCGGUGAAGAAUGUACAAUCGUCGACUCUCUUUGGCGAGGCCCGUGUCACCAUGCGCAAGACUGCAGCGAAGGCGAAACGGGUUUCCUCUAGCAGCCCAUGGUACGGUGCCGACCGUGUGCUCUACCUCGGCCCACUCUCUGGCGAGCCUCCGAGCUACCUGACCGGUGAAUUCCCUGGCGACUAUGGGUGGGACACCGCCGGGCUUUCGGCUGACCCCGAAACCUUCGCCAAGAACCGGGAGCUAGAGGUGAUCCACUGUCGUUGGGCCAUGCUUGGGGCGCUUGGUUGCAUCUUCCCUGAGUUACUCGCCCGCAACGGUGUCAAGUUUGGCGAGGCCGUUUGGUUCAAGGCUGGCUCCCAGAUUUUUAGCGAGGGUGGUCUCGACUACCUCGGCAACCCCAGCCUCGUCCAAGCGCAAAGCAUCCUAGCUAUUUGGGCGUGUCAAGUCGUGCUAAUGGGUGCCGUCGAGGGGUACCGCAUUGCCGGCGGCCCACUUGGCGAAAUCGUGGACCCACUCUACCCAGGCGGCAGCUUCGACCCUCUCGGUCUAGCCGAUGACCCUGAGGCAUUCGCUGAGCUCAAGGUGAAGGAGAUCAAGAACGGGCGUCUCGCUAUGUUCUCAAUGUUUGGUUUCUUUGUCCAAGCUAUCGUCACAGGCAAGGGCCCUCUUGAGAACCUCGCUGACCACAUCACUGACCCCGUCAACAACAAUGCUUGGGCGUUUGCCACCAAUUUUGUUCCCGGCAAGUAA